Pelobates cultripes (western spadefoot toad) is the source of this 73-nucleotide non-coding RNA. The record is from the annotation of a GenBank genome assembly. Lineage: Eukaryota; Metazoa; Chordata; Amphibia; Anura; Pelobatidae.
ACCUGGAUAGCUCAGUUGGUAGAGCAUCAGAAUUUCAGUCUGAAUGUCCAGGGAUUAAGUUCCUGUUUGGGUG